GUUGUAUGGUUAAGUGACUAAGCGUACACGGUGGAUGCCUUGGCAGUCAGAGGCGAUGAAAGACGUAGUAACUUGCGAUAAGCCCAGAUUAGGUAGUAACAACCAUUUGAGUCUGGGAUUUCUGAAUGGGGAAACCCACGUGCAUAAGCACGUAUCCUUACCUGAAUACAUAGGGUAAGGAGGCGAACCGGGGAACUGAAACAUCUAAGUACCCCGAGGAAAAGAAAUCAACCGAGAUUCCGAAAGUAGCGGCGAGCGAAAUUGGACUAGCCCUUAAGCUUUACACGCGUUAGACGAACGGUCUGGAAAGUCCGACGAUACAGGGUGAUAGUCCCGUAGUUGACGACGUGUGUUCAGUGAAAUCGAGUAGGGCGGGACACGUGAUAUCCUGUCUGAAUAUGGGGGGACCAUCCUCCAAGGCUAAAUACUACUGACUGACCGAUAGUGAACCAGUACCGUGAGGGAAAGGCGAAAAGAACCCCUGUGAGGGGAGUGAAAUAGAACCUGAAACCGUGUACGUACAAGCAGUAGGAGCAGGCUUUGUCCUGUGACUGCGUACCUUUUGUAUAAUGGGUCAGCGACUUAUAUUCAGUGGCAAGGUUAACCAUCUAGGGGAGCCGUAGGGAAACCGAGUCUUAACUGGGCGUUCAGUCUCUGGAUAUAGACCCGAAACCAGGUGAUCUAGCCAUGGGCAGGUUGAAGGUUGAGUAACAUCAACUGGAGGACCGAACCGACUAAUGUUGAAAAAUUAGCGGAUGACUUGUGGCUAGGGGUGAAAGGCCAAUCAAACCUGGAGAUAGCUGGUUCUCCCCGAAAGCUAUUUAGGUAGCGCCUCGGACGAAUACUACUGGGGGUAGAGCACUGUUAAGGCUAGGGGGUCAUCCCGACUUACCAACCCUUUGCAAACUCCGAAUACCAGUAAGUACUAUCCGGGAGACACACGGCGGGUGCUAACGUCCGUCGUGGAGAGGGAAACAACCCAGACCGCCAGCUAAGGUCCCAAAUUACUACUAAGUGGGAAACGAUGUGGGAAGGCUCAGACAGCCAGGAUGUUGGCUUAGAAGCAGCCAUCAUUUAAAGAAAGCGUAAUAGCUCACUGGUCGAGUCGGCCUGCGCGGAAGAUGUAACGGGGCUAAGUAGUAAACCGAAGCUGCGGCAAUAUACUUUUGUAUAUUGGGUAGGGGAGCGUUCUGUAAGCGGUUGAAGGUGUGUGGUAACGCAUGCUGGACGUAUCAGAAGUGCGAAUGCUGACAUGAGUAACGAUAAAGGGGGUGAAAAACCUCCUCGCCGGAAGACCAAGGGUUCCUGUCCAACGUUAAUCGGGGCAGGGUAAGUCGACCCCUAAGGCGAGGCCGAAAGGCGUAGUCGAUGGGAAACGGGUUAAUAUUCCCGUACUUCUUACAAUUGCGAUGGGGGGACGGAGAAGGCUAGGUGGGCCUGGCGACGGUUGUCCAGGUUCAAGUGCGUAGGCUUAAGAGUUAGGUAAAUCCGGCUCUUUUUAAGGCUGAGACACGACGUCGAGCACCUACGGGUGUGAAGUCAUUGAUGCCAUGCUUCCAGGAAAAGCCUCUAAGCUUCAGAUUGUAAGGAAUCGUACCCCAAACCGACACAGGUGGUCGGGUAGAGAAUACCAAGGCGCUUGAGAGAACUCGGGUGAAGGAACUAGGCAAAAUGGUACCGUAACUUCGGGAGAAGGUACGCUCUCGACGGUGAAGUCCCUUGCGGAUGGAGCUAUUGAGAGUCGCAGAUACCAGGUGGCUGCAACUGUUUAUUAAAAACACAGCACUGUGCAAAAUCGUAAGAUGACGUAUACGGUGUGACGCCUGCCCGGUGCCGGAAGGUUAAUUGAUGGGGUUAGACUUCGGUCGAAGCUCUUGAUCGAAGCCCCGGUAAACGGCGGCCGUAACUAUAACGGUCCUAAGGUAGCGAAAUUCCUUGUCGGGUAAGUUCCGACCUGCACGAAUGGCGUAAUGAUGGCCACGCUGUCUCCACCCGAGACUCAGUGAAAUUGAAAUCGCUGUGAAGAUGCAGUGUACCCGCGGCUAGACGGAAAGACCCCGUGAACCUUUACUACAGCUUGGCACUGAACAUUGACCCUACAUGUGUAGGAUAGGUGGGAGGCUUUGAAGCACGUACGCCAGUAUGUGUGGAGCCGUCCUUGAAAUACCACCCUUGUAGUGUUGAUGUUCUAACGUCGACCCCUUAUCGGGGUUGCGGACAGUGCCUGGUGGGUAGUUUGACUGGGGCGGUCUCCUCCCAAAGAGUAACGGAGGAGCACGAAGGUGGGCUAAUCACGGUUGGACAUCGUGAGGUUAGUGCAAUGGCAUAAGCCCGCUUGACUGCGAGAAUGACAAUUCGAGCAGGUGCGAAAGCAGGUCAUAGUGAUCCGGUGGUUCUGAAUGGAAGGGCCAUCGCUCAACGGAUAAAAGGUACUCCGGGGAUAACAGGCUGAUACCGCCCAAGAGUUCAUAUCGACGGCGGUGUUUGGCACCUCGAUGUCGGCUCAUCACAUCCUGGGGCUGAAGUCGGUCCCAAGGGUAUGGCUGUUCGCCAUUUAAAGUGGUACGCGAGCUGGGUUUAGAACGUCGUGAGACAGUUCGGUCCCUAUCUGCCGUGGGCGUUGGAAGAUUGAAGGGGGCUGCUCCUAGUACGAGAGGACCGGAGUGGACGAACCUCUGGUGUUCGGGUUGUGUCGCCAGACGCAUUGCCCGGUAGCUAAGUUCGGAAUCGAUAACCGCUGAAAGCAUCUAAGCGGGAAGCGAGCCCUGAGAUGAGUCUUCCCUGAUACUUUAAGUAUCCUAAAGGGUUGUCGGAGACUACGACGUUGAUAGGUCAGGUGUGUAAGUGCUGUGAGGCAUUGAGCUAACUGAUACUAAUUGCCCGUGAGGCUUAACCAUACAACACCCAAGGGGUUU
RNAcentral lists this ribosomal RNA (2915 nucleotides) under Vibrio parahaemolyticus. Its description in RNAcentral is "bacterial LSU rRNA". It matches the Rfam family "Bacterial large subunit ribosomal RNA". The record is from RNAcentral. Lineage: Bacteria; Pseudomonadati; Pseudomonadota; Gammaproteobacteria; Vibrionales; Vibrionaceae.